This 1091-nucleotide long non-coding RNA is filed under the name Lathyrus oleraceus (garden pea). RNAcentral describes it as "Pisum sativum (pea) long non-coding RNA (PSAT_LNC019906)". Lineage: Eukaryota; Viridiplantae; Streptophyta; Magnoliopsida; Fabales; Fabaceae. The record is from RNAcentral.
AGAUUUGAACAAUAUGGUAAUACUGAUUAGUUUUUUUUAAUCUAAAAUGCUUACUAAAUAUGCUAGGAGGACAAUACAACACAUUUUCUACCACUAUAUAAAGGACACUAUUGUUUAAUUGAUGUAAGGAGAGUUUGAACUUUAAAAGAUAUAAAUUGAUAAAACUAAUCUAAAAUGCUUACUAAAUAUGCUAGGAGGACAAUACAACACAUUUUCUACCACUAUAUAAAGGACACUAUUGUUUAAUUGAUGUAAGGAGAGUUUGAACUUUAAAAGAUAUAAAUUGAUAAAACUAUUUCUUAAAUACAAAGGAAGAAAAAUGGCUGGAAUUAUCAAGUUUAUUCUUACUAUAAUUAUCUUUAUUUCUAUAUUGAUGGUGUCAUCCAACGCUGAAAGUAAUUUAUUUUUUAAGAUUUAAAAAAUUUCCUUGUUACUUUGUACACAAUAUUUUAUCAAAUAUUAGCUAAACUUAUAAGCAAUAUAGGAAUUGUUAAAUGUAUACAAGAUACGGAUUGUUUACAAUAUCAUAGGUGUCAGCCACCAAUGCUAAUGAAGUGUGACAAUAAACAAUGUAAAUGUGUUCCAGUGACCUAUUUCAUUCGUUAUGUUCCCAUAUGAUUCUUCAUAUUAAGUUCUCAUAUGGUUCUGCAUUUAGUGUUAUAUCUAAGAUAUUAUUGUAUUGCUAUAUCAUAAUUUGUUUUUUUAUUUUUCAUUUCAAGAAUUUUGUAGUUAAGUUUAAUUUUAUUUAAAUCGAGUUCUUCUCUUUUAAUUUCAAAAUAUCUUCAUAGAUUUCAUUCCAGGUAUGUAUCAUGGUCAUUUGAAUCCUACCAUCUAUUAGAAUAAUACGUGUAAUAGUUAAGUUGAAUAACUGUUUAUAUUGCUUAUAAGUCUGCACGUUUUUUUACAUGUUCAUGUUAUAGUAUCAAUACACUUCCCACCUUCAAUUUUCAUUUCUUUUAUAUUUUAAUUCUUUUAUUGGUCUCAUAUGUACUAUUCAAUUUUAAAAGAUAUGAAAAUCUAGAUAUUCACUAUAAAAAUGUAAAAAUCUAUUGUUAUAAGUGCAUAUUUAAUAGAAGAGUUGUCUAUGUUUC